AUGGAGAGACGACGCGGUCGUGCGCCAUGGAGAGGUGUUGGGAACAACGUCUUCAACCAAGUCGGCGGCUCUGUCAACGGCGGCUUGGACCAAACCGACGGCGGCUCUAUCAACCAAGGCGGCGGCGGCGGCUCUGGCACCGGAUGCGACAUGGAUGGCGAGUGGAUAGUCACAUCAGAGCUUAGUUUUGUCUCCAAAAAAGCGAUGAAGGGGGCAUGCGGAAUUAGGGUUUCCAAUGAAGGAUUUGGUGCGGCUGAAUGUGGGUGCAAAUUGACGCCAGUUAUUAGGGUUUGCAAUGAAGGAUUUGAUGCAGGCCGACGAUUUCUGAGUUGUCCAUACGAGGGGUUAAACUCCUGUGGGUAUUUGAGGUGGAUGGAUGAUGCAUGGCAGGGCAGAUCAAGGGUGGUAAUUGGAAAGCUUGCAAAUGACAAGCAGAAGCUACAAAAUGCUUUGCUUGACAAGGAACAAGACAUUCAGAGGAUGAAGAAAGAGAGGAAUAAAUUAGAUGGGCAGAGAAAAAAAAUUCAGACAAAUAAACUCUCAAAUGCAAAAUAA
This 555-nucleotide ribosomal RNA is filed under the name Triticum aestivum (bread wheat). Its description in RNAcentral is "partial small subunit ribosomal RNA". The record is from RNAcentral. Lineage: Eukaryota; Viridiplantae; Streptophyta; Magnoliopsida; Poales; Poaceae.